AGAAAAUUGUAGAGAUCCUCUGAGUCCAAAUCUAUUAGAUGGAUACGAUGGUCCUCCAAUUGCAGACUUUGGGCUGAUGCAGACUUGGUAUUUACCUUUCCUAUAUCUCAGUAUUUUUUGCCUUUUGUUUUCCAUGUGCUUCUAGGGAUGAAGAAAAUUGGUUGCUGAAAAUGGUCAAGGAGUUCAUUAUGGGGAAAUGCCAGUGCAAGAUCUCCCUGUUCAGGAUUUAUAGGACUGGGGAAUGGUCAAAGGUUCCAUAAGGGUUGGGAGGAUGGUGAAACCGUCCACAAUGCUUUACCUUUCUACACAUUUUAGCUUUCAUUGCUUUGCAGCUGCUCCAGUAUGUGAAGUACAUCCUGACCUGGUACUGCUUAGAACAGGGAAAGUGUAUAAGUUGCAUAGUCCUAGUGUGAGAUAUUUGGCUUCUUUGUCGAUUUAUAUGAUUCUUCCAACACAACAAAGUGCUGAGCUUUCCCUGAAUUAGCAGUUAAAUAUGCAAGAUAUCCCCCAAAGAAAAUCCGUCGGAAAAAGUGAACCAAGAUUGGCCGAUCGAGAUGCUGAUGGGGAGUAUAUGACCGCUUUACCUGAUCAACCCUCCACAUCCAAAAUUGUAACUUCUAUGACUGAAAGCUUGAAUUCGCUAUUCAAUUGCUUGAAGCAUGCAUUAUCUCGCUAUGGUCAAGGAUUUGGUGCUAUAGCCCAUUUAAGUGUGAGAGAAGGAAAGUCACAUGGAAAAUGUUUGAAAGUCCCUUUUCCAAUACAAGUAGAAGAGCGUAAAACCAGUUAAAGCAUUGAGCAUUCCCAAUUUAGCCAGGUCAUCUGCAAUGCCACCCUGAGCAGCCCUUUGAAGGAUUUCAUCUCAUUUGAUAACUCUUGGCAUUUAAAGGAAGAUGGUUCUGGGUAAUAUCAGUGUACCCAUAGACUUGGUAAUAGUGAGCUGAUGCUAUAAGUUAACCAGAAACACCUAAAUGCUGAUAGAAUAACCUAUUAGAUUCUUGGUACUUGCAUUUUUCCUUUAACUCGUAUUAAAGGCAUUUGAUAGGCUUGUUCUUUCAGAUGUUCAUAAAGAUAUUAUAUUUUUUAAUUGCCCAGUUUGGAUCGUAUGCUAGAAUCUUGCUUUUACAUGGAACA
Long non-coding RNA from Populus nigra (black poplar), 1131 nucleotides. RefSeq lists it as uncharacterized. The record is from RefSeq and is a predicted model, not a curated record. NCBI's taxonomy places the organism in Eukaryota, Viridiplantae, Streptophyta, Magnoliopsida, Malpighiales, Salicaceae. The transcript has 2 exons.